UACGAAGGGGGCGAGCGUUGUUCGGAUUUACUGGGCGUAAAGCGCACGUAGGCGGGCAUUUAAGUCGAUUGUGAAAGCCCCGGGCUCAACCUGGGAACUGCAUUCGAUACUGAAUGUCUAGAGUAUGAUAGAGGAAAGUGGAAUUCCCGGUGUAGCGGUGAAAUGCGUAGAUAUCGAGAGGAACACCUGCGGCGAAGGCGGGUUGCUGGGCUGACACUGACGCUGAACUGCGAAAGCUAGGGGAGCGAACGGG
This 253-nucleotide ribosomal RNA is filed under the name uncultured bacterium. RNAcentral's name for it is "partial 16S ribosomal RNA". It matches the Rfam family "Bacterial small subunit ribosomal RNA", at positions 524 to 776 of the family's 1533-position model. The record is from RNAcentral.